This 253-nucleotide ribosomal RNA is filed under the name uncultured bacterium. RNAcentral's name for it is "partial 16S ribosomal RNA". It matches the Rfam family "Bacterial small subunit ribosomal RNA", at positions 524 to 776 of the family's 1533-position model. The record is from RNAcentral.
UACAGAGGGGGCAAGCGUUGUUCGGAAUUACUGGGCGUAAAGGGCGCGUAGGCGGCCUGCUAAGUCGAACGUGAAAUCCCUGGGCUCAACCCAGGAACUGCGUCCGAUACUGGUUGGCUUGAAUCCGGGAGAGGGAUGUGGAAUUCCAGGUGUAGCGGUGGAAUGCGUAGAGAUCCGGAAGAACACCGGUGGCGAAGGCGGCCUGCUGGGCAGUUGCUGACGCUGAGGCGCGACAGCGUGGGGAGCAAACAGG